GCCCUGGCAAUCACUAUUCCAGUCUCUGCUUCUAUGAGUUUGACUAUUUCAGAUUCCACAUGAAAUGCUGGAGUCCUUCAUCCGAAUGGUAAAUGGCACUUGUGACAAAAAUCAAAGUAACUAAAAAAGAAUCUGGUUGAAACCUCAGUAACAGUUGGCCUGUCUACUGCCUCACACUAACAAGUGACCCCCACCUUUACAAGUGUCUGUAAUUCUCACUAGCAGUAUAUUAGAGGGCAAAAGAUUUGAACAGACACAUCAGAAAAGAAGACAUACAAAUGGCCGCUAAGCACUUGAAAGGAUUCUGAACACCAUUAGUCAUCAGUGAAAUGCAAAUUAAAGCCAUAAUGAAUGGCGCUAUACAUUUUCAGAAUGGCAAGGAUUGAAGACCGAAAAAAAUCAAGCGUUGAGGAGAGUGACAAAUGGGGAGACAGCCGUGGUGCAUGAUCGCCGAAUAAAUACCAUGUGAGGAUACAGCAAGAAGGUGGCCAUCUACAAGCCAAGGAGACAGGCCUCAGAAGAAACCAACCCUUCUUACACCCUGGACUCAGACUUCUAAUCUCCAGAACUUGUUAAUGCACAAGGUCUUGUGUUGAAAAUGUAGAGCCACGAGAUAAAAGCAGCUUGGAUGGCUGACUCAUAUACAAGGACAACUGCCUGAGAGUCACCAGGGCUAUCAAGAAGUUUGCAGAAACAAGAAAUAAACUUUUACUGUUUUAAACUUUUGUGAAUUUUGGGUUUUGUUUAUCACCAAAUAAACCUAGUCUAUUCUGAUUGUUAUAAGUGGUUAAUUUGGGAAGUCAGAUAUAUUUAAAAUUGGCUUACUGCUGUAACAUAUACAGUCCAAAUUACAUAAUGGCUCAAAUGCAAUAGAAGUCUUUUUUUUUUUUGCUCACAUAUCACUUCACUGAGAUUCUGCAUUAAUUGUAAUGAUGAGGGUGAGGGUGUCUUAUAUCAUACAGUUGUUCAGCAACCCAGGAUGACCAACUUUGUAAUAUUUUUUCCCACUGGCUUCUAAAGUUCUCAUAGAUAGUAAAAUUCAUUUGGAAGAAGGAGAAACAGCAUGGAGGAUUGCAGAUGGAGAUUUUUAUGGGAAGGCUUGGAGGUUUGGAGGUUUAAUCGCAUGGAGAGAGAGAGCAUAGAACACGAGAAAUAUACCAAAACAACAGAGGUAAUGACCUCAGCUUUAGAGAUUUCCCAUUUUAUUAUAGUUUUAUUUCCAUUUAGAUAUGUCAUUUAGAUAUUAAGGUGUCACUGUCCAAUAAGGCAGUAUGAACCUGGGUUCUGGAUGAAGACUAGUCGGGAUAUUGUGUCAAUGACAGUAAUUGAAG
Molecule: long non-coding RNA, 1331 nt
Filed under: Homo sapiens (human)
Lineage: Eukaryota; Metazoa; Chordata; Mammalia; Primates; Hominidae
Description: HSALNT0066338
Source: RNAcentral